AGCAGCCGCGGUAAUUCCAGCUCCAAUAGCGUAUAUUAAAGUUGUUGCAGUUAAAAAGCUCGCAGUUGAAUUUCGGGGUUUGUCAGUUGGUCGGGCUUCAUUGUCCGUACUGACUUGAUAGAUUCCUACCUUCUGAAUAACCAGCAUGCUAUUAAGUUAGUGCGUUGGGGAAGCAGAUCUAUUACCUUGAAAAAAUUAGAGUGCUUAAAGCAGGCUAGUGCUUGAAUAGAUUAGCAUGGAAUAAUAAAAUAGGACGGCAUGGUUCUAUUUUGUUGGUUUCUAGGAUCACCGUAAUGAUUAAUAGGGAUAGUUGGGGGCAUUAGUAUUCAAUUGUCAGAGGUGAAAUUCUUGGAUUUAUUGAAGACUAACUUCUGCGAAAGCAUUUGCCAAGGAUGUUUUCAUUAAUCAAGAACGAAAGUUAGGGGAUCGAAGACGAUCAGAUACCGUCGUAGUCUUAACCAUAAACUAUGCCGACUAGGAAUCGGACGACGUUAAUGUUGAUACUCGUUCGG
RNAcentral lists this ribosomal RNA (512 nucleotides) under uncultured Acaulospora. RNAcentral's name for it is "SSU rRNA". It matches the Rfam family "Eukaryotic small subunit ribosomal RNA", at positions 569 to 1083 of the family's 1831-position model. The record is from RNAcentral. Lineage: Eukaryota; Fungi; Glomeromycota; Glomeromycetes; Diversisporales; Acaulosporaceae.